Molecule: ribosomal RNA, 790 nt
Filed under: uncultured bacterium
Lineage: Bacteria
Description: bacterial SSU rRNA
Rfam family: Bacterial small subunit ribosomal RNA
Source: RNAcentral
GGCGUAAAGAGCUCGUAGGCGGUUUGUUGCGUCGGCUGUGAAAACCUGAGGCUCAACCUCAGGCCCGCAGUCGAUACGAGCAGACUAGAGUGUUGCAGGGGAGACUGGAAUUCCUGGUGUAGCGGUGAAAUGCGCAGAUAUCAGGAGGAACACCGGUGGCGAAGGCGGGUCUCUGGGCAACAACUGACGCUGAGGAGCGAAAGCGUGGGGAGCGAACAGGAUUAGAUACCCUGGUAGUCCACGCCGUAAACGUUGGGCGCUAGGUGUGGGGCUCAUUCCACGAGUUCCGUGCCGCAGCUAACGCAUUAAGCGCCCCGCCUGGGGAGUACGGCCGCAAGGCUAAAACUCAAAGGAAUUGACGGGGGCCCGCACAAGCGGCGGAGCAUGUUGCUUAAUUCGAUGCAACGCGAAGAACCUUACCUAGGCUUGACAUGCACGGAAAUCCUCCAGAGAUGGUGGGUCCGUAAGGGCCGUGCACAGGUGGUGCAUGGUUGUCGUCAGCUCGUGUCGUGAGAUGUUGCGUUAAGUCCCGCAACGAGCGCAACCCUCGUUCUAUGUUGCCAGCACGUCAUGGUGGGGACUCAUAGGAGACUGCCGGGGUCAACUCGGAGGAAGGUGGGGAUGACGUCAAAUCAUCAUGCCCCUUAUGUCUAGGGCUGCAUACAUGCUACAAUGGCCGGUACAAAGGGCUGCGAUACCGCGAGGUGGAGCGAAUCCCAAAAAGCCGGUCUCAGUUCGGAUUGGGGUCUGCAACUCGACCCCAUGAAGUUGGAGUCGCUAGUAAUCGCAG